This 253-nucleotide ribosomal RNA is filed under the name uncultured bacterium. Its description in RNAcentral is "partial 16S ribosomal RNA". It matches the Rfam family "Bacterial small subunit ribosomal RNA", at positions 524 to 776 of the family's 1533-position model. The record is from RNAcentral.
GACGAACCGUGCGAACGUUGUUCGGAAUCACUGGGCUUAAAGGGCGCGUAGGCGGCUUCGCAAGUCCGGGGUGAAAGCCCCCAGCUCAACUGGGGAAGUGCCUCGGAUACUGCGGAGCUUGAGGGAGGUAGGGGCGGAUGGAACUUCCGGUGGAGCGGUGAAAUGCGUUGAUAUCGGAAGGAACGCCGGUGGCGAAAGCGAUCCGCUGGCCCUCUUCUGACGCUGAGGCGCGAAAGCCAGGGGAGCAAACGGG